CCUUUCAAACAGGCAUAUCUAAACUGACCUUUCAAACAAGGCGUAUCUAAUCAGUAUAGUAUCAUGGGAGAGUAGAGUGGUAGGGUCGGAACUGAGAGAAAGCUAUAUUUUGCAAUUGAUCGUUACCAAUAGCAACUUGAACUAAGUCCUCUGGUGAAUGAUCGAUGUGUGCCAGAUUGAAACCACCUUCUUUAUCAUUGGAAGAAGACCGCUUCGUAAAGCUAGGGCUGGAUACCUGAAUUGGAUCUUGAAUGCCCCGGUUAGGGCGCCUUGUGCGUGUGCUCUUAAUCGUUGGGCCUAGCUUAGCUCCAUUACUCAUUCUAGCUCUAGCCUCAUUGGGGAACAGGUCUGGCAAAAGGAGAAAGAACUAAGGCACACCCCAAACCGAAAUGCUCCUUACUUAUCUUAUAUUAUAGUUAUAGUAUGAUGUACGAUCAUAAGUUCCCAGAUUUCUCAUAAUAGGAAAGGAAGGGCUUUGGACUAUUAUGGUUUGAGAUUGAACUUCUCAUUCAAUGGGGAUCCAACUAAACCCCCAGGAAGGGAAGUGCCAAAGAAGAGGACUUCACCUAUCCUCCACCAAAGGCUAUAGGAGAAGGUACCUACCUUUUACUGAGGAUCCAAUUUCUUCUCGCUAACGCCCUUGUUGCCAUGCCCUCUAUCUCUCUCUUUGCUUUGGAUCGAGAAGGGUUGGCUCUGCCUCAGAUCUAUUCAGCUUCGACCAGACGACUACCGCUAAGUGAUGAAGUUUGUUUAGUGCGGAAUCUGGCAUACAGUUACCAAUCAAGUAGAAGUCAAUAGGCUCACUCAUAAAGCCCCCCGCUAGUAAGACAAGAAAACGCUUCGCUUGGUUGUCAUGUCAGGGCACUCUGGUAGGACGUGGCGUGGAGAAUUACCUGCAUUACGAGAAUGGGCUUCUCUUUUAAUGUAAUAGAAGAGUCACGGUCAAGUGAGCCCGGCUUUCUCCCUAAUCGACCUUACUCAGGGGAGUUGCAUUCAGUUAGGUAUAGGCUUUUUGACCUUGUGUUCUAUACUGGUAAGAGGCUAAUACUGGCAAAGAGUUAAGCAUUAACGUGUUUUGGGGUAUUAAUAGAAAAGAAGGCGCCCAACAAGGAGUAUGGACUUGGAUGCUUGCUGGGGAGAUCUAGAGAGAGUUCUAUAUCAACAUAGAAAUCCAAAGUAGUUCUCAGUUCUAUAUCAAAUAGAAGUUAUAAGUUCAAUAUCCAAUUAUUAUAAGUGUAAAUAUCAAAUUAAGGAAGAGUACGCACGGCUGACGCUGUUAGUUGAUCGAAUCAGAUACAGAUAGCUCUGGCUACCCCAAUUCUGAUCCACAUGAGGUAUGGCUCUGAGCGGAGUGGCUGAAGGCAUAGGUUUGCGAAAUCGACAUCAAAUAAGAUUGUAUAAUGGAUCCCUACGGAGGCGGGCGAAAUAACAUGAAAGAACAAACCUAUUCUUGGUAGAGUUCCCUGAGGACGUACAUAAGAGCACUAACCACUUUUGAGUGAAACUAGAAGCUUGUGCGCUUUAUUUGAUUGACCGGCCUGCCCAUCUUAUUUAUAGUAGCAUACCCCUAAGUAUCAUUUGUAUAGGAACGAAAGCAACACUUUGACUUUUGAAAGUAAUGGGCUACGCUUAUCCCUGACUAGUCAAGUAGUGGUAAGGUAGGUGCUGGUGCUGUGCUCUUCGAUGAAGAAAAUCUACAAUAUAUUAUAUACAAAUACAAAUAUACAAAUACUACAGAAAAUAUACAUACAUAUUAAUAGGUGAUUCAAUAGGUGAUUAAGGUAUCUAAACCAGAGCAGAGCAAAGUAUUCUCCGUUUUCUUGUGUCAGUGGUUAGAAAUCGAAAUUAGUGAACACGUCGCCUACUUUCUUUAAAAGGAAGCAAUUCUUCUUACCUAUAACCAAUAAGCCUUAUUACCUCUGUUUGUAAAAAUGGGGUUAUGGUUAUAGAAACCAUAGACUUAUCCAUUUGUAGAUGAACCUCCUUGUCGUAUUUAUUACCUCCUUGUCGUAUUUAUUACCUCGCCCGAAAAUCAUUGAAAAAUAUAGGCAUCCGGAAUACCGCUUAUCGACUGAAUCGCAUAUGGGCAAAUCGACGAGGAAUCACAGUAAAGCGCCCUAGUACCAUCACUCCCUUGCCGGAACAUUAGAAGACCAGUAAGACGUGGGUCCGCUCCUAAUCUUGAAUGGCCUCAUCAAUGACUGAAACACAGUAAUGAGUCACCUACUCUUUAUUUAGACAAGAAAGACGGCGGACAUUGAUGGCUCUAAGUCGGAUGGCCCCACUGGAGAGUGAGCGAAACGAAAAAGCAGUGCACACGCAAAAAACAUCAUUAUGGGCUUGCUUUACCUACCCUUUACUCAUCAUUCCGUUUUGGAAUCUACAAAGAUGAUGAAAUGAUUGGAUUAUUUCCGUCUUCUUGCUUGCUCUGUCUGAUACUAUGUAUGUGAAACCAGAAGAUAGUAGUUCCCCUGCGACGACAGGAAUCUCGUCCCUUCUACUCUUUGUUUAUGGUCCCCCAAAAGCAAAAGGAAAGAUUCUUCAUGAAAAUAGAAACCACCUAUGAGACGAUCCCUAGUCUAUUUCAUACAUUAUGCCUAGGUCAAAGGUAUGCCUGCUUUCUUUCUACCUAUGGGUCAAAGGUAUGCCUGCUUUCUACUUUCCACCUAGUUAAAUUCGAAGAGAGUCUAUCCACCCUAAGAUCAGAAAAGAGCCUAUUUCUCUUUUGUUUGAUUUAUGAGAAUCAGAGACAGGGUUCGAAUUCCUGUUGAGAAUGAAAUCAUGAAACUAAAUGAGAAACCUCUGAAAAAGACUUGUUUGUAUGGAGCUUGCAUACUCCCUGCGCGCGAUCGUAUACUUGAACCCUCGCUUUUGUUGGUGGUUCAGCGAUAGAUGGUAGUUUGCCUUAAUGAUGGAUAGCCUUGCCAAGGAUUCGAUUUCUUUAUCUUUUCAAAUAGAGAAGAGAUCGCAUUACGAUAGGACUGACUGCUGGCUUAGUAGUUCUUUCCCCGGGUACCAUGACAGUGCGAGCACCUUUUCCGAAAACCCAUUUAAGGAAGGGCAGGAUAGAGCAGUUUUCGGACUCAAAGUGUAUAUGGAUAGAACCUUGUCCAGAUUUCCUACUUUACAUCUCUGCAAAGAGAAAUCAAUUCAAUAAAAACAUGACCCAUAGCUACGAAAUGAAUCCAAUUAGGUCCCUUAAGAGAGAACUCAAUCUCAUGCAUCGAUGUAUUCCUUCUAGAACUAUAGUCGCCUGUCUUUUGAGUUCAGGGAGAUGGGCAUGUCUUCUUCGAAAAGGAGGUCGUGGUCAACGAUCAAAAGUGGCUUUGACUACACGAAUGGGAUAAGCAAGAAGAAUGGAAUGCUGUAAUACUGUCUUCUUUGGUUCUAAGAAAGAUAUUCAAAGACUCUCUACCCUACCGCCUGCCGACGAUGGACCUCAAUCACCAUCAUAGUAGGGCAAAGCUUGUAAACAAACACAGAUUUAGACCUUUCCUUUAGUGGAGAACCUAUUGAUGGAGACAUCGCAACAAUCAUCUUACAUUCAAUCUCAGAGAUGAUAGUGCGGACUUAUGAUGGGCAAAAGACUAAGAUCUAGAAAUAAUGAUAGGGCCGGGCCGCACCCUCUCGCCUUUUAGUUACUUUUACCGAAAUACGAGACUGACUCCUAAAUUCAGUCGUUCCUCACUAAAUAUAAGAUUUUGGAAAGAGUCAAACAGUCCCGUCCCUUUGGACUCGAAUUAGUUGUAUAUCAAAUGAGAUUGUAUAGACCCGCCAGCAAUCCAAAUUCUAUCUCAAUAUUAGCGCAAUGGUUCUUAUCCAUGGUUUGGCCAGAGCCCCACCUUUGUCUUUCUUGUUUGGGUGAGGAAAAAGCGGAUACAUAAGCAUCAGGCGAUAGUCAAAAGAGAAGGUUGUCUUUCACAGGACAUUCCAUUCAGUUAUCUAUAGCGGUGCCUAGCUUAUUUGUUGGAUAAUGCUUCUUCCUGCUUGAAAGCCCUUCAUGACUAGGUAGAGGGGAUUAAUCUAAAUAGAAACAAAUAUCAAUCUGGGAACGAUAGGAUCAAUCAAUGCAAUUGAAUUGAGGCGAGUGAAGCUAUAGGAAGGCAGUAGCAGACCAGACCCGAUUGGGAGGGAGUCUUUGCGUACGAUAGGUGGUAUAGGGUUUUUGGAAUGGAGUUCAAACGGAAAUGGCUCGAUUGAUUUGCUUACAGGAAAAAGACUAGUUUCAGAAAUCCAAUAAUUGGAACAAAUUGAGUGACAACGCAACGGACACCUUUCUUUCUCACUCAAAAGCUCAUCGUUUACCAACGAGUAUUGAGAGUAUAUACUCUUACAAAGACAGACCUGUGAUCCACUUUCGAUCUAAAGCACCCGAAUUCUACUCGCUUAUUUUAUUACUUUGAUAUGCGUUCAAUAUUCGAUUUUAUGGAAUGGAAUUAAGCUUCACUGCUCCUAUCCAUGCUUUCGAAUUCCUUUAUUACCGACCCAUCCUGGCUAUUUCUCCUAUUUGAGAUAUAACCCAUCCUGGCUAUUUCUCCUAUUUUAGAUAUAAUUAGAAUAAUGUCUUUGUUAACUUAUUAGUAUAGUCCACUCUUACCUUAGAUCAAAGAAAGUCAGACUGAGUAUUUUUCUAUACGAGACGUCGAUAAAUCCUUUGUAUAUGAAAUUAUUGUGAAUGGAAAGCGCAUACAUCGAGUAAAGAAAGACGGAAGAAUGGGGGAAAAUAGAGUACCACUACUGACUAAAGGAUUAUGAAACUCAAGAAAAAGAACCCUAAAAACAAGGGGGAACUGUCAUAAUUCAUACAAGUAACUAGCUAACGCCUGAGAUAGAGACCCCGUCUGUGACUCGUGAGAUAGACCACCCCGUCUGUGACUCGACUUCUUUUAGUAGUGUGCUCCAACUUACCCUUAUACUUCGCUCGGUUCGGUGCUUAGAAAACUCCAAUAACAUACCAAUAACAUCAAGGGUAAGCGUUAGCUUACCUUUUCUCUUCUCUUAGGGAGCGCUAGGGCAAUAAGCUAUGUUGUUUAGGUCACUUUCAUAUAUUAAUAAUGAGUGAAGUUAGUAAUUGUCGUUAAGAUUCAUUUCUUUCAAGUUGAGUGCACCUUUUGCCUAUAUGAGUGAUUAAAGGAAAAAUACAGGAGUUAUGAAAAUCAAGAGAAGAGUAUAGUAUGCUCCGCUCCGUUUUAGAAGCAGAAUAAGCGUGAUCGCGGACAGGAGAAGGGGUUAACUGACUCUGUGACUAUAACCUUAUUGAAUGGAAUCGAAACUUGUCGAGCUUCACUUGCUACCGAGAUACCAGCUAUAUACUUGCUACCGAGAUACCAGCUAUAGCUAUAUAGUCGUGGAAUUCAGAAGUUUGGAGGACGAGUAGGGUCGGUCAAAUAGGAAUUCAAUAUCAAUCAGUCAACCUGCAAUUAAGGGCAUAUCAUGAAUUCCAGAAUAUAUAUGGCAUAUCAUGGAAUAUAGUAACAAAACACUAUAAACUCACUUACUCUGUAGUUUCCAAUCCUUUUUUUCCCUGACAUAACACAUAUGUUCUAAUUGCAUAACUGGACUGUUUACUCCAACCAAUAAGCGUUAGAGCACCCCAAGAUAGAGAAUGAUAGAUUAGUUAGCGAGCGGCGAACUCACAUUGCGCUUACGGAGCACUUGUUCAUUCUAUUGUUUGUUCUUUUCUUCUGAGACUUAUGUCAGUUAUUAGAGUUUGGGCCAGUAUGUAAAGUUCACCUUUCAUUUCAUCUAUCUAGCCAUAUGAUCUUGAAUAGCUAAUCCAUCUUGUGCAUCAUCUCUAGCCUAUAAGGGAGUAAGAUGACCUCUUUAUAUACUCAAUGAGAAGCAUUCGCCAACCACUAAUUAGCUCCUAGCGCACACAACAAAAAGAAUGAACUAACGACCACAUGAUACGAAAACGUCACUCAUGUUUGUAACUAAUGCAGAUUCUAUCGUCGCAAAGACAGAUCAGAUGAAACUCCACCUUUCCCGCUUGCUGCUUCUGAUCUUGAUUCUGAUCCUGUAGUAGUUAAGGAUACGGCUGCCAAUAACAUAUUAUUCCCUUAAUAAAGCAGCAGGGGGCAGAAGCUUCUUUUUCUUCGUAGGGGUUUACAGACACAGCCGAUUCCCUAAUUGCCCCAUGCUAUACUCAAUGAGACUCUAUUCUUUCUACUGUUCCUUUUCCUUUAUACCUAACAGCCAGCUUAUUAGAUACAGACAGCACUGCCAGCUUAUUAUCGGCUUCAACUGAAAGUCAUUAUUAAGCUUCUUCCCAUUUCUGUAGGAUCAAAGUCGACAACACAAGAUUCAAGUCGCUAACUCUUUUCGGCAGUUUAGAAUUCCAUGAAACAAUUCCAUUCUUUAUCGGGGAAAUAACCAACAAUGAAAUUAUGUAUUUGGAGGCACCGGAUAUAGGCAUGAGUAAAGACACUGAACGCACAGGGACAAGCACUUCUGGACCAAUACUGGAAUCUGGAACUACACUUUCCACUGCUUCUUCAAAUGGUGUUGGAGUGGAGUAUAUCAAUUAGUAAUAUGAAAAGGAUCUAUACCCAGGCUCGCUAACAGAGCUGUUUCUUCUCAAGUCGACAACACUAAUUGACUUUGCGCUUACAGCUUCCUUUAGUACUGCUUAUUCUCCCCCACUCUUGCUUCUGCCUUUGUCCUAACCCUAUUUGGAUAGUGAAAUAAGGGUUCUUUGAUAGUGAAAGUAAGCGUUCAGCUGCCUCUGCUCUAUAUGAGUAGGUGUGUGACCUCUGUUCUAUAUGAGUAUAGUGUAUCAAACUCGUCAACUUCAUAGCUUACACUGCUUAAAGAAAUGAAUCUGUAACUUAGAAGGGGAACUCACACAUCAAUCUCUGACUCUCGGAUCCAGCUGGGUUAGUCCGAUAAUUUGUGUCGAACCUUGCUUGGGCUGGCUUGGCUCUAAGAAGAAGAUAUAGUAGAUGAAAGAGGCUCCACGCUAUAACAGUGAAAAGAUUUAGCAGGUUAAGAACUUCAAGUUUAGAAUAGGUCGGCUCAAAGGCAAGUAAGGGAUCCACCAACCAAGGUAAGAAGCAUAAGCUAGAUAAGAUUAUGUAUAAAGUGGAGUUUACUUUAGAUAAUGUCAGAAUUUCCGUUUAUAGCUUAGUCUAUAAUUCAGUGACAGGGAGUACAUUCCUUCCCUACCCGGAGACAUAGUCCGCAAGUGGUUUAAGUGCUUGUGUCUAAGGCUUCUUUAAGUAGAGUUCUAGACUAAAGUAGAGUAGAGUUCCAGUUCUCAAGUAGUCUACGAGAGAAUCAGCAAUUACUGGCUUUGAAGAAGAAGCUUUAUCAAAAUCAGAAGCAGUUUCAAGAGAAGUAGCAGAAUAUCUUACUGGCUACGCAGGGUGUUGGGCAUCAUAUCUUACUGACUUUUCAAGUUGAAGCUAGGUGUGGUCCACGUCGUCGAUUGAAGCACGGUGACACUGAAUACGAGUUAUUAAGUUCCAGAAGAGAGAGACGCCGCUCCACUCUUUUUGGUAGUGUUCCAUCCUUGUUAGCAGUGGUUUCCUUCUUUGUUUGACCUUAGACUCCUUUCUUCGAUUCUGACUUUGGAGCUUACGGACUGACGCUACACUCUUUUGGUUUGAUUCUUUGUUUCUACCUUGAUUCUUAUACCUAUGAGCUCGAUUCUACGCCUAUGGGAAAAGAAAGGCUAUCCGCCAGCACUCGCCCAUUAUGGGACUGUUGAGUUGGACUCCCUAUGGUUGGACUACCCUUUUGUAUUCCUAUUAGUCUCAUGCGCUAGUAGCUCGGACCCGACCCUUAUUCUUAUCCCCAUGGUCGAAAGACGGCAAUUGAAUAAGUAGAGGCGAGAAGUCAGCCUAAAAGCGAGGGCUGCUUUAGAUGCCUGAGAUUCCAUAAUAUAAGUUGGAAGGGAAAGUCAGUAAGUUACAGUUCCAAAGUUCUCCUGUUCCUGUUCGAGUUAUAGUGUUUUCUUAUAAGGAAUACAGUAACCAAGGAGAUAUAAAGGAAGUAGGUAACACCAAAGUGAGUUGAACCAAUUCCAAAUUCUAAAGAGAAUCACCAAAACUCGAGAAACCGAAUUCAUGCCUUGUUUUUUGUUUGUUGCUAUACACUUAACACUAAGCAACUCCACGCCAAAAAGGUCUCGAUCAAGGGCCUUCCGCCUUCUCGUGCCACAGCUCUAAUCCGAAUGGCUUCAACUAUGAACGCAAUUUCCAGUUCGAGCAAGAGCCGUUUGUUUUUCGAGAAAAUCCAGAAACUAGAAAACGGAUCGUCGUUAAGUCCGGCUUGCAGAACCGUCUUUCGGAUAACUAUAAGUGUGAGUCGGUUAGCUCCUUUUUCUGUUGCUGUAGUUGGUCGAUAAACACUCCUAUAUUUCGUAAUGAAAGACUUAAUUCAGUGAGCUUGGUACCGCCUGUUCAAGGGGUUGGAGGAGAUCAAACCCAAGAGAGGCCCGAGCACAACGUCUUCAUGAGUUAAGUGUUCCCACCUUGGGAGCUGAGAGUCAGGCCUGCAUUAGUGGAAUAUCCUUUACAGCCUUCCUUUAUCCGACCAGACAACUAUUCUAGUUCCACUUUUGAUACCGGGCAGAGCAGCUAAAGUGGCUUCAGCCUCUUUCUUUUGGCAGUUGCUUGCGAAGAAUUUGGGUAUUACUUAUCCUAGCUCAGAUAGAGCACUUGAGAGAGAAUUCGAAUAGUAGGGUUUGGAUCGUAAGCACAAUGGACUCGCUGCCUUAUCUGUCAUAUAGGAAUAUCGAUAGCGAGCAGUACCCAUCGGUUGCAGCUAUAAUCGUUUGCAGCUAGUACCCAUCGUUUGCAGCUAUAAGUAUAGAGCUCGUUCUUUUCUUACUUACCCGACGGUCGGAACUUUCAAAGGAUUCUCCCCAUCUAAAGAGCACUUCGUUCCUAAUAAAUGCAGACGGAAAGGUAGGACGGACCAGUGGAAGACUUAUGUCGAGAAGAACGUAGUGGCUUGUUGGCACAGAUGCCUUAAUUGAUCUUGUUGGCACAGAUGCCUUAAUGGAGAAUUGCAUCCAUCCAAUUAUGCACUUAAGAGAUUGACAGUCCUCCGCUCAGGCAAAGAAAAAACCGAAUCUUAUUAUACUUAUAUUGGAUCCAAAUUGAGAAUAGAACCUAAAGGUUGGUGGAUCAUGGUUCUACUAAGCGCCCUUCACCCCUGGUCCUUCUCAUAUGUCUUAUACUGGAAUGGCAUUUUUCUUAGGGUAAGUUCUUUGUCAAUAAAUUGGAUGCCCUAAGACGUAAUCAAGCCUUGCCUUUUCUUUUUGUUCUCGAUCUCUUCUCUUUAGAACUUAUAAAUAGCACGUAAGCAUGACAAAGGAUGGGAGCGGUGAUUGACCAGAAACAUUCUGUAAAAACAGAAAAGAGUAUCUUGCUGGAAUGGAUUUCAAAGAGCAAUCGUAAGGCCCACCAAUCUAACGCCGACAAGUGGUAAGACUAUCCCUCGUAAGACCGACAUUCCUCAUUCACUUCGAGGUGUGGCGCUAACUAGGCAUUCAACGAAAACGGAAUUAGUGCUUAACUGAAACUCCCCG
This 9535-nucleotide long non-coding RNA is filed under the name Musa acuminata (dwarf banana). Its description in RNAcentral is "long non-coding RNA (MACU_LNC007987)". Lineage: Eukaryota; Viridiplantae; Streptophyta; Magnoliopsida; Zingiberales; Musaceae. The record is from RNAcentral.